CAAAGGGGUGCCCAACCAGAUGACGGGCUGAGAUUAUACCCUACGAACCUGAUUUGGUUAAUGCCAACGGAGGGAUUGUUGUU
This 83-nucleotide non-coding RNA is filed under the name uncultured Phocaeicola sp. RNAcentral describes it as "TPP riboswitch (THI element)". It matches the Rfam family "TPP riboswitch aptamer (THI element)", at positions 8 to 91 of the family's 105-position model. From Rfam's summary of the family: Vitamin B(1) in its active form thiamin pyrophosphate (TPP) is an essential coenzyme that is synthesised by coupling of pyrimidine and thiazole moieties in bacteria. The previously detected thiamin-regulatory element, thi box was extended, resulting in a new, highly conserved RNA secondary structure, the THI element, which is widely distributed in eubacteria and also occurs in some archaea. Analysis of operon structures identified a large number of new candidate thiamin-regulated genes, mostly transporters, in various prokaryotic organisms. Lineage: Bacteria; Pseudomonadati; Bacteroidota; Bacteroidia; Bacteroidales; Bacteroidaceae. The record is from RNAcentral.